UUCGGUUCCGGUAGCGGUUUUAAGCUUGAAACAACCGGUUUUAGCCUUUAAUUCGGUUAUAAAUCCCCGGUUCUGGUCCCGGUUCGGUUCCGGUUCUGAUCCCGGUUCUGAUCCCGGUUCGGAUGUGAAAUAAUCCGGUUCAACGAUGAAAAUCCCGGUUCUGAGCCCGGUUCGGCGGUGGAAAUCAACACUAAAAGUCUCCGGUUCCGGUUCUGGUUCUGAAUCCCGGUUCGGUAAUGGACAAACCCGGUUCCGGUUCGGUAAUAGAAAUACCCGGCUCCGGUUCCGAGCUCCGGUUCCAGUUUGGUAAUAGAAGUCCCGGUUCGCUGCUCUGGGGUCCCGGUUAAAGUCCCGGUUCCGGUUCGGUUGUGGAAGUCCCGGUUCUAAACCCGGUUCGGAGAUGGAAUGACCCGGUUCCGAGCUCCGGUUCGACUCUGUUAGAUCCCGGUUCGGGUCUCCGGUUCCGGGCUCCCGUUUAUCAAUGGAAGUCCCGGUUCCGGGUCCCGGUUCAAUAGAAACCCGGUUCGGAUCCCGGUUCCAGGUCCCGGUUCGGUCCCGGUUCGGUCCCGGUUCGGGUCCCGGUUCGUUAAUGGAAGUCCCGGUUCGGUCCCGGUUCGGGUCCUGGUUCGUUAAUGGAAGUCCCGGUUCGGUCCCGGUUCCGGGUCCCGGUUCGUCAAUGGAAGUCCCGGUUCGGUCCCGGUUCGGGUCCCGGUUCGUCAAUGGAAGUCCCGGUUCAGGGCUCUGGGUCCCGGUUCGGGGCUCCGGGUCCCGGUUUGUUAAUGGGAGUCCCUGGUUCAGGUCUCUGGGUCCCGGUUCGGUCCCGGUUCGGGUCCCGGUUCGUUAAUGGAAGUCCCGGUUCGUUAAUGGGAGUCCCCGGUUCGGGUCCCGGUUCCGGGUCCCGGUUCGUUAAUGGAAGUCCCGGUUCGGGGCUCCGGGUCCCGGUUCGGUCCCGGUUCGUUAAUGGAAGUCCCGGUUCGGGGCUCCGGGUCCCGGUUCGGUCCCGGUUCGGGUCCCGGUUUGUCAAUGGGAGUCCCCGGUUCGGGGCUCCGGGUCCCGGUUCGGGUCUUUAAGUCCCGGUUCCGAUUCCGGUUCGGGUCCGUUUCCAAGCUGUAAAUCCCCGGUUUGGGUCUGUAGGGUUCGGUAUGACCCGGUUCUAAUUGUAAAUCCCGGUUCCGAGUCCAAUUACCGGCUUAAAGGGACCCGGUACCGUGAAAUUAAAGCCCGGUUCUGUGUUAUAAAUCCCGGUACCGUGUUAUAAGUCCCGGUUCCGAAUCCCGGUACCGUGUUAUAAGUCCCGGUACCGUGUUAUUAAGUCCCGGUACCGAGUCCCGGUUCGAUCCAAUUCUCACCCACCCCCCUUUUAAAGCCGUUUCUCCUUUCGGUUCCGUUUGAAAUACCGGCAAAAUCCAACCGAUUUAACGAUCGUUCCGAACCGGUACCGAACCGGAUCCGAACCGGUACCGAACCAGAUCCGAACCGGUAUCGAACCGGUACCGAACCGGUACCGAACCCCCCCCCCCCUCGAGCUCAGUUUAAAGCCGUUCCAAGCUCCGGUUUAACCCCCCCCCUCCCCGGCUCCGGUUCGUCCUGAUCCGAACCGGUAUCGAACCGGAUCCGAACCGGAUCCGAACCGGUAUCGAACCGGUACCGAACCGGUACCGAACCCCGCCCCCCCCCGAGCUCCGUUUAAAGCCGUUCCAAGCUCCGGUUUAACCGCUCCCCCCCCCCCGGCUCCGGUUCGUCCUUUAUCAGCUCCGGUUGAUCCGGUUCGUUGUUCCAAUGUCCGGUUCGGUUCCGAACUCACCCGGUACCGGUAGAACCUCCAAAAAGAUCCAAUAGAAUCAAAUAAAACCCCGGUUCGAAUCGAUCCA
This 1871-nucleotide long non-coding RNA is filed under the name Coturnix japonica (Japanese quail). RNAcentral describes it as "lncRNA (ENSCJPG00005002600.1)". The record is from RNAcentral. Lineage: Eukaryota; Metazoa; Chordata; Aves; Galliformes; Phasianidae.